This 3325-nucleotide unclassified non-coding RNA is filed under the name Leishmania donovani. Its description in RNAcentral is "gene:LdHU3.22.0960(CDS-product:hypothetical_prote in_conserved)". Lineage: Eukaryota; Euglenozoa; Kinetoplastea; Trypanosomatida; Trypanosomatidae. The record is from RNAcentral.
CCGCAAAAAUCGAAAAGCACGUGAGAUACCCCCAAAAAGGAUAACGCCCAAACAACCAGAACCAUCAUCAGCACAGAGCCCUCUCCCCUACAACGGUAACAUUACAGCCAACCAUCGUCGACAUUGCAGGACGAUCGUCUAUACAACAUCUCUUUCUCUCCGGACCUCUUUUUUCUUCGGUGUGCUUGCGUGUCUGCGCGUGUUGCCAUCGGUUCGCCAUCUCUCCUUCACCCCCUCUCUCACAAGCACCACGCCUUCUUCCGCUGCUUUCACAGGUCUUGGAAGCUGAGGUGACUUGACAAAGGACUUCAAGUGAACGACUGGCACACAGCUGACGAGCGCGAGGAUUUCUUCUUCUGUACCGCAUUUUUCUUUUCUUUGAUUAUCUUGUUUUCGAACUGCCUUUUCAGGGAUUGCUCCACUGAUCACAGCGAUGUCGGCCCAGCAGCAGCAGCCUGAGGAGAACGGUGAUCGCAUGGUCGCCGCACGCGCCAAGGCGGAGGCUGCCCGCAUGGCCGCCGAGCGCCGUCGCUCCAUGAACAGCGAUGCUCGAGAACGCAGCAAUUCCCCUGACAUCCAUGACACACCGACGCCGCUCAGGGGUGCGACACAGGAGCGCAGCAGCAGUGUUGAUCUCGCCAAUGGCGGUAUCGAGGCACUUCAUGGGGAUUCCGGCGAACAUCGUCGGAACAGCAGCGCCCUAAAACGCCGCUCGUCGACGCCGAAGAAAGGCAUGCGCGGUGGGUCCCGCCGUGGCAGCGGCGUUGCUGCCGCCGGCUUCUCCAACGCCUCGCACUCCGGCACGAAGAAAGCGGCGCACCCGCAGACGCCGGAGGAAUACGCGGCGGCGAUUGAGGAGAUGCGCCAGGAGUACGAGCGCAUUACCAUGAAGGACGAGGAGCUAGAGGAGCGCCUGCAGCUGUACAGCGACGUGGUCGGCCUGCGCAAGGAGCUGGUGAUAGUGCAGGAGGACGAGGCGCGCCUGCGCCAACAGCUGGCCGCGACCGAGGCUGUCAUCGCGUCGAGCGACCCGACAGUGGAGAAGAUGGUGUCCAUCUAUGAGGAAGAGGCCCAGCAGUCCGCGCUGCAGAAGUUGUGGAUGGAGGAGUCCGAGUGCCACAACCCCGACACUAUGGAGUGGGCUGAGAUCGACGUCAACAACCUGCGCGAGCGCGUUGACGAGGCCCACAAGAAGUUUACGGCUGCGGCCGAGAAGGCCGACUCCUUGUACCUGCAGCAGGAGGAGGCCAUCAACAAGACGACGGACGCCCGCGAGCGUGAAAGGGCGACCAUUGCGGAGAACCACGAGCGAGAGAUGGAGGGUCUCAGCGAGGCCCGCAUCCAUGCCCGUCAGGUAGCCACAGAGCAGCACUUUCACCGUCAUCGCGGUACGGCGCAGGCCCCGCCGGUGGUGUUAACGAAGGAUAAGGAGCGCACGACGCGUCAGCGCCGCGUCGACGAGGUCGAGUUCCGCACCACCGCGCAGGUAGGCAAGAUGAAGGACGAGCUGACGGAGCUGAUGGAGCAGGUGAAGAUGCUAAAGCGUCACCUGGACGACUCCCGUCAGGUGACAGAGGAGAAGCGCCGCGAGUACGAGGCGUCCCUAAAGGUCGUCGAGGCGGAGGGCUCCGAGGCGCGCGAGAUGAAGGAGGGUCUGCUGAAGGAGGAGGAGGAACUAAAGGAGCUCAAGGCAGACCUUCAGGCUGUGCUGCACUACGUGCGCGCCAAGAAUCGCGAGGAGGAGGGCUGGUAAAGAGGGCUGACUUGGUGAGGGAGCGAAGCAGCACGGCUUCCACACGCAGCCAGGGUGGCUGCGAAAGGCUGAGGGUGUGGGAGGCGUGCACCUGAAGCGGCUCCUCUGUCGCGCAUGCGCGUGUGUUUGUGUGUGCUCACUUUGCCUGCGAGACGCAGUACAAGAGAGAGGCACCUUCUUUCUCUCCUCCUUUCUCCGCCCCACAUAUGUGCCCCCUCCCCCUUCCCCGGAUGUGCUUGUGCGUGCCUGUGCGCGUUGCUGGAGUCCGUGCUGCAGGCACGGCAGCACACGCACCUCGCACCACCUCGCUCCCUCCACAUCUUCGCCCACUUCGCAUUUCUUGUUCUUGCAUUUCUGUGCGUGUUUCGCUGUGCCAUCUCUCUCUUCUUUUCUUUUUGGAUGUCGUGCUAUCGUCGACGACGGUUGUCUGCCGCGGCUGUUUUUCGCAUUACCCUGUUGUUUCCGCUUCUGUGUAUGAUGGUGUGCGUUGGUGUAGUACGGCGAGCGCACCCUCUUCUUGCUUCAUGCCGAUCGUCAUGCGCUCUUCCUCUUCCUGUUCCCCCUCCUCUUCCUUUCUGCCCUGUACGCAUCUGAAUUACUUUUCCCUUUUCUUUUAUGUUUCUCUUCUGUUUAUGAGACCUUAUUGUCUUGUCCAUAUAUGUUGAUUCUGCGUGUGUGCUUGUGUAUGAGGGAGAGCGCAUCGCUGUGGUGUGCAGGUGUUUCUGUUUUCCUUGAUGACGGCUAUAUAUAUAUAUAUAUACAUAUAUAUAUAAAUAUAUGCAUUUAUUUUUGGUUGAGGGAGGUGUUGCCGCCUGUCGCCUUGCCAUUCUCUGAGUGUCCGCGUAAGUACGCAUGUGUUUAUGUAUGUAUGUGUGUAUCUGUCUGUAUGUGUCGCUGUCUCUCUCUCUGUGCGUGCGUGUGGUCCGUGCCCGUGGUGACCCUGGAAUCUGCUUGCUUCAUGAGCAGAGAGGCGGCGACACACAUACAGACAUGUGCACUGAAAAGCAUGGAGCAGGUAGGAAGGGAAGAGUAGCGACAUGAGAACGUGAGGAAAGAGAAAAAACGAAGGAAACGGAAACGGAACUUAGUGGCGUGAGUGUGUGGGUGCACGCUUGUGUCGGACGUGUGUGUGCGUGUGUUUUGUAUAACUGUGCGUUGAUGGAUGCUUUCUCCCACUGGCUUCAUCUCUGUUGUGCGUACGUUGCGGUGGCGGUGGUAGGUGGUCACAGCGAAGCACUCCCUAUCCCGCCGUCCCUGUACUUAGGAAAGCGAAAUAGCAGACGAAAACCAACAAGAAGAGCAACGACGACAUCAAACGGACGGCAACCCCAUCGCCGUCGUAAACCAAAGGACAGUAUAUGUAUAGAUGUGUCCAUGCGAGACACACAAAGCCGCUGGCAGCAGCACACACGGACGGAGUGCGACACGGAGGAAAAUGGAAGGGGUUCACCCUCCUGCGUGGCGUCAAUGGAUGGCGGCAUGAUCAGCCGAUAUGUCCAUCACUGAUGCGCUGCGGGUCUUAUCUCUUUUUUUUUUCGGUUCUCCGCCUUGUGCUCACCCAGUGAUGCUCUG